UACGGGAGGCAGCAGUGGGGAAUAUUGCACAAUGGGCGCAAGCCUGAUGCAGCCAUGCCGCGUGUAUGAAGAAGGCCUUCGGGUUGUAAAGUACUUUCAGUCGUGAGGAAGGUGUUAAGGUUAAUAACCUUAGCAAUUGACGUUAGCGGCAGAAGAAGCACCGGCUAACUCCGUGCCAGCAGCCGCGGUAAUACGGAGGGUGCGAGCGUUAAUCGGAAUUACUGGGCGUAAAGGGCACGCAGGCGGUUAAUUAAGUUGGAUGUGAAAUCCCCGGGCUUAACCUGGGAAUGGCAUUCAAGACUGGUUAGCUAGAGUCUUGUAGAGGGGGUUAGAAUUCCAUGUGUAGCGGUGAAAUGCGUAGAGAUGUGGAGGAAUACCGGUGGCGAAGGCGGCCCCUGGGACAAAGACUGACGCUCAUGUGCGAAAGCUGGGGGCAAAC
RNAcentral lists this ribosomal RNA (439 nucleotides) under uncultured bacterium. RNAcentral's name for it is "bacterial SSU rRNA". It matches the Rfam family "Bacterial small subunit ribosomal RNA", at positions 340 to 773 of the family's 1533-position model. The record is from RNAcentral.